Molecule: long non-coding RNA, 326 nt
Organism: Linepithema humile (Argentine ant)
Lineage: Eukaryota; Metazoa; Arthropoda; Insecta; Hymenoptera; Formicidae
Source: RefSeq, a predicted model, not a curated record
GUUUCUACAUCAAGUUGGAUGCAGAGCGCGAAAGCUCCGGAUCAAUCGUCUAUUUUACCAGAUAAAAAUGCAUAACAAAGAUUGCACUGCCGCAACAAGCUGCUGAACACAAGGCGCCUUUUUCAUUAGAUGUAGCAUGUCAAAAAUUCGAUAAUUCAAAUUAUCAAUGUCACCGAUACAACUUCGAUCAACAUAUUUUCGUGACUGACUACCAUCAAUAAUUCUGAUUGUGAGAGGAAGAAGAAGGAGCCGGCUUAAGAAGAGUACUAGACAACAACUAUGAUUGUGAGAGGAAAGAGAAUAGGUUGAUCAGGAAGAGUAUUGGA